This 284-nucleotide ribosomal RNA is filed under the name uncultured bacterium. RNAcentral describes it as "partial 16S ribosomal RNA". It matches the Rfam family "Bacterial small subunit ribosomal RNA", at positions 333 to 614 of the family's 1533-position model. The record is from RNAcentral.
GUUAGCCUACGGGACGCAGCAGUGAGGAAUAUUGGUCAAUGGCCGUAAGGCUGAACCAGCCAAGUAGCGUGAGGGAAGACUGCCCUAUGGGUUGUAAACCUCUUUUAUGCGGGGAUAAAGGUGUCCACGUGUGGAUGGUUGCAGGUACCGCAUGAACAAGGACCGGCUAAUUCCGUGCCAGCAGCCGCGGUAAUACGGACGAUCCGGGCGUUAUCCGGAUUUAUUGGGUUUAAAGGGAGCGUAGGCCGGACUUUAAGCGUGCCGUGAAAUUUUGUGGCUCAACC